Molecule: long non-coding RNA, 2301 nt
Organism: Felis catus (domestic cat)
Lineage: Eukaryota; Metazoa; Chordata; Mammalia; Carnivora; Felidae
Exons: 3
Source: RefSeq, a predicted model, not a curated record
AACUGCGGAGGGGCAGGGAGGGGGACAGAGGUUGCGAAGCAGGGUCUGUACUGACCGCAGAGAGCCUGAUGCAGGGGUCGAACUCACGAACAGAAAGAUCACGACCUGAGCCGAAGUCCCAGGCUCAACCACCUGGGCCACACGAGUGCCCCUGCACAUUCAUUUCUUUAACAAAGGCAGACAGGAGUGCCAGUCCCCGGGUGGGCGCGGGGAGGAGGGGGAGACGUGGCCCUGCUGUGGGUGGGUGACCUGGCUGGGGGCGCUGAACUUGGAGACAGGGAGGUUGGGGAUGGGACAGGAAUCCUACUGCUUUCCUGGAUAAAGGGGACAAGGAUCACCUCCUCCCUCCCCUGGCUGCAGGCUGGGGGCUCCCGCGCGUCACCCUCACGUCACCCUGUUUGGGAACCGACCCACUAGAGCAGGGCCCAGAACGCCUACUGUGGUCCGUCCAGCGUCUCCUUCCUCUACCUGAUGGCAGGCCCCCCGGUGCGGCCAUCCAGAGCCGUCCGGAACCACGGUGCCCAGCGGAGAGAACCCCCGCCAGCUUCCCCUGCAGGGGCAGGUGACGGGGCGCGCGGACCCCGCAGUCGCUCCUGUGGGCCCCCCGCUGGUGCUCCCGGAAGUGCAGUGAAUCACGAGCCCGCGCCCCCCCCCCUCCGGGGGCCUCAUGUUCUGGCGUUGGCGCCCUCUAGUGGCCAUGCCGGAGCAGCCCCGCACUGCCCGCUGGGAAGCGGGAGGCGCAGACUUGGGAAGCCUGGAGGCGGGAAGCGCAGACGCUGGGAAGAUGGUGGCGCAGGAGGACGCUCGGCUCACCUGGUCCCGCUGAUCGCUUAGAUUCCACCCACAUCGGCCUAAGUAACGCAGAAAACCGCCAGAAGACUAGCAGAACGGACUCUCCGGAGCCAAGCGUAGGCGAGAGGCCCACGGAAGAGGAUCCACUCCCUGGGAUCCGCUAGGUCGGUUCGUGGCCAGUUCCCAUCGAAGCAGCACCACAAGCCUGGCAGUGUGCGAGCAGCCCAGACGGGCCACACCACUCCACACGCAGGGGAAGUGCCCUGCAGUUUGGAGCUACCGGAUCUCUAGCAAACUCCGGGUCUGAUCCAGUGCGCCCCAGACCGACCCACUAACCGCACAGGGACCCGAUCCUGCCCACAACAGGUAGAGCCACUGCACGGAAGGCCAGCGCAGUUCAGCCACAGCAGUAGCAACUGCUACCGUAGCAACGCACACAGGGACGCCCCUGAAGCGCCAUCUUCCCGUUAACAGGGGACACUGCACCGCGGGGCACUACAGGACCUCGUCUUCCUAAGGCCACUGCUUUAAGUGCGGGAGACGCAGCUGACUUUGCUAACAGAGACACAGACGCAGCAGUAGACAAAAUGAGGAGACGGAGGAAUAGGUCCCAAAUGAAAGAACAGAACAAAACCACAGCGAGAGACGUAACCAAAACGGAGACGUGUUCUGUAACUGAUCUAGAAUUUAGAGUAACCCUCCUAAAGAUGUUGGCUACAGUGGAGGAAAGCCUGGAGAACAUCCAGAAAGACCUAAAACACCUAAAAAAGGACCGGGAAGAGAUGAUCAACUCACUAAAAGAAACGAACAAGAGACCAUCUGGAAAAAAUAAGAAAGAAGAGACCGGACAAGGGCAGAGCAGCAGCCCAGACAAAGUAGUGGAAAGUCACCAAGCGGAGCCAGUGAGAGUGAGAAAAGUUGUGCAAGAUGAGAACAGACCUAGGGAACUCCGCGACACCAUCAAGCAUAACAGUCGAGUUACAGGGGUAGCAGCAGAAGAAGAGAGAGAAAAGGAGGCAGAACAUUUAUUUGAGGAGAUAAAAGCUGAAAACUUCCUGAAUCUGGGGAAGGAAACAGAAACCCAGACCCAGGAGGCUCAGAGAGCCCCCCAAAAAACCAACCCGUAGAGUUCCAUACCAGGCCAGCCAGUAAAUAAAAUGGCAAAACCUAAGGAUAAAGAGAGAAUUUUAAAAGCGUCAAGAGGAGAGAAAGCAGUUACAUCCAAGGAAAAUCCCAUAAGGCUAUCUGGAUUUUUCAGCAGAAACUUCAGAGACCAGAAGGGAGCAGCAUGAUGUAUUCAGGUGCUAAGAGGCAAAAGUCUGCAGCCAAGAACACUAUCCAGCAGGGCUCUCCUUCAGAAUAGAAGGAGAGAGAGUUUCCCAAACUAACAAAAGGGAAACCAGCCACUUCCCUGUCACACACAACGCCACCCGCCUGUGGGUCCCAAAUCCACAGUCCAGCCCCCCUCCUGCCUGAGUCUGCUUGUGGGCAGUAAAAGAAACCCAAACC